Molecule: ribosomal RNA, 451 nt
Filed under: uncultured bacterium
Lineage: Bacteria
Description: bacterial SSU rRNA
Rfam family: Bacterial small subunit ribosomal RNA
Source: RNAcentral
AACGAACGCUGGCGGCAGGCCUAACACAUGCAAGUCGAACGCCCUAGCAAUAGGGAGUGGCGCACGGGUGCGUAACGCGUGGGAAUAUACCCUUCACUGCGGAAUAACGUUUGGAAACGAACGCUAAUACCGCAUAAUGACUCCGGUCCAAAGAUUUAUCGGUGAAGGAUUAGCCCGCGUUAGAUUAGCUAGUUGGUGAGGUAAUGGCUCACCAAGGCUACGAUCUAUAGCUGGUCUGAGAGGAUGAUCAGCCACACUGGGACUGAGACACGGCCCAGACUCCUACGGGAGGCAGCAGUUGGGAAUCUUGGACAAUGGGGGAAACCCUGAUCCAGCCAUGCCGCGUGAGUGAUGAAGGCCUUCGGGUUGUUAAAACUCUUUCGCGCACGACGAUAAUGACGGUAGUGCGAGAAGAAGCUCCGGCUAACUUCGUGCCAGCAGCCGCGGUAAU